Molecule: ribosomal RNA, 292 nt
Filed under: uncultured bacterium
Lineage: Bacteria
Description: partial 16S ribosomal RNA
Rfam family: Bacterial small subunit ribosomal RNA
Source: RNAcentral
GUGCCAGCAGCCGCGGUAAGACGAAGGUGGCAAGCGUUGUUCGGAUUCACUGGGCAUAAAGGGCGCGUAGGCGGUUCUGCAAGUGGCUUGUGAAAUCCCCCGGCUCAACCGGGGAAGUGCGGGCCAGACUGCAGUUCUUGAGGCUGGGAGGGGAGACUGGAACUCUCGGUGGAGCGGUGAAAUGCGUAGAUAUCGAGAGGAACACCGGUGGCGAAGGCGAGUCUCUGGUCCAGCUCUGACGCUGAGGCGCGAAAGCGUGGGUAGCAAACAGGAUUAGAUACCCCCGUAGUCC